RNAcentral lists this ribosomal RNA (497 nucleotides) under uncultured bacterium. RNAcentral's name for it is "partial 16S ribosomal RNA". It matches the Rfam family "Bacterial small subunit ribosomal RNA", at positions 28 to 507 of the family's 1533-position model. The record is from RNAcentral.
GAUGAACGCUGGCGGCGUGCCUAAUACAUGCAAGUCGAACGCAUAGCGAAAGGUGCUUGCACCUUUCAAGUGAGUGGCGAACGGGUGAGUAACACGUGGACAACCUGCCUCAAGGCUGGGGAUAACAUUUGGAAACAGAUGCUAAUACCGAAUAAAACUUAGUGUCGCAUGACACAAAGUUAAAAGGCGCUUCGGCGUCACCUAGAGAUGGAUCCGCGGUGCAUUAGUUAGUUGGUGGGGUAAAGGCCUACCAAGACAAUGAUGCAUAGGCGAGUUGAGAGACUGAUCGGCCACAUUGGGACUGAGACACGGCCCAAACUCCUACGGGAGGCUGCAGUAGGGAAUCUUCCACAAUGGGCGAAAGCCUGAUGGAGCAACGCCGCGUGUGUGAUGAAGGCGUUCGGGUCGUAAAGCACUGUUGUAUGGGAAGAACAGCUAGAAUAGGAAAUGAUUUUAGUUUGACGGUACCAUACCAGAAAGGGACGGCUAAAUACGUG